Molecule: non-coding RNA, 216 nt
Filed under: Clostridium botulinum
Lineage: Bacteria; Bacillati; Bacillota; Clostridia; Eubacteriales; Clostridiaceae
Description: T-box sequence
Rfam family: T-box leader
About the family: Uncharged tRNA acts as the effector for transcription antitermination of genes in the T-box leader family. T-boxes are found upstream of many aminoacyl-tRNA synthetase genes and some amino acid biosynthetic genes usually in Gram-positive bacteria.
Source: RNAcentral
AAUAAAGCUUUGAAAAAGAGGAGUAGAGAUAAAAAGUAUUAAGAGAGGAAAACUCAAAGGCUGAAAGGUUUUCUAUAUAUAAUUUAUCUUGAAGGUAGCUUUGGAGCUUCUUUACUGAGUUUAGUAAGUAAAGACGGAUUUCUUAUUCGUUAAAUAUACAAGAGCCUGUAGUUUUGCAGGAAAAAAGGUGGUAACGCGAGGUUUUUCGUCCUUUUA